GCCACUCUUUAUGCAACGUGUAUUCUACAGACUACUAAAUGCUCUUUUCAAACCUUCGAGGCUGAGAGAAAGAGAAAAAAAAAAACAACUCCCACACACUAAAAACUCCUACAAACAACUCAGAAGAUGGACAAUAGCAGGAGGAAAAUGUACAAGAAGCACACCGAACCAUGCCAGUGUCAAUAUAACACCGGCCGUGAUGGGAAAAGCUCAGGAUGAACCGAUCGACCGAGCCGAAGCAGAGCCAAACUCAGCCGAUCCAUCUCACAUGAAGUGCAGCAAACUUGCAUCAUACGCUUUAUUUACCGAGCAAUACUUACAUCUAUUUCUGGUGGCCAGCAUUGACACAAACACUCUCCUGCCUCGAACGAUAAAUUUACUGACUCUUUUUUUUUUUUUUUUUUUUUUCCAGCAAACAUACAGAGCUAGUUAGCAAAAUCAACAAGCCAAGACACUGCUAUGAUUUAAACAGGAGAUAAGUGCCAUGAUAAAUAUUACUUCUCUGCUGUAAAAUCUCCUCACAUCCACUCAGACCGUUCCACACUGAGAGAAACCUGUACCCCCACCC
Molecule: long non-coding RNA, 568 nt
Organism: Ictalurus punctatus (channel catfish)
Lineage: Eukaryota; Metazoa; Chordata; Actinopteri; Siluriformes; Ictaluridae
Source: Ensembl